ACCGAGUCCUUGUCCGAGAUCCUUGCUUGGUCCGAAAGUUGGAAGAGAUGGGAUGUUAUUUGGGGUUUCUAGUUGAGAGAGAAAUAGAAGGAGUAUGGAUGUGUGUUGUGUAACAAAUGAAAGAAGUGAGGAGGAGGUUGGGAUUAUAUACAAGGUUCCAACACAAGCUUAGGGGAUUUCGGCCCAAGCCGGUUACGGCCCAAAGGCCCACUCGAGACCGAGUGGCCCACUCGCAACCGAGUGGUUGCGAGUCGUGGUCUCGGCUCUCAUAUAUAUAUAUAUAAUACAUAUAUACAACACAUAUCAUGUAAAAGUCACGUUUCCAUUUAAUAAUAUUUAUAUACUCAAAAUAUUACAAGGUGUUCGUUCGGAAAAACCUAGAGUGUCACAUCUUAAUGGCCCAUGAAAGUUUUCGGUUCCUGUUGGAUAAGUGUGGUUGCGGGUUCGGUCUGUGGCAGUCUAAGUCUCACCUCUCAAGUGGUGCUUAUAAAAUCCUAUUUCAGCAAAGCCAGUGGGUGUGCCUUAAAGCCAGGGGCAGUUUCGUCUUUAUGGCCUGGGACAAUUUAUUUCCGGGUUUGAUGUUUGUUUUCCGGGGUUUCGCCAUGUCAUGUUGUGUGCUUCGAGUUUACCGUGAUGUCCCGAGUAUGCUGACUUGGUCCGAGUUGCGGCCAUGAUCCGGGGUUACGGCAGUGUUCUGGGUUUGCUGCCUUGUUCCGGGGUUGCUGUCAUGCUCCGGGAUUCCUGUCAGGUCCCGAGCCUUGUUUGGGUUAAUGUAGUGUUAUUCAAGGCCCAUUACAAUGGCCUUGUGCUGUUGCUUAUAGGAUAUUGCUGCGCUUUCGACUCAGGCAGGCUGCUGUUGAAGGCCCACCAGUUGGGUAGAGUGGUAUUCCGAUUGUGAUCAAAUAGAAAGAAAACGUUUGAGGCGUGCGCCUCUAGGCGCGCCUCGAGGCGAAACGGCCAAAAAACGAGUCUGAGGCGCGCCCCGAGGGGAAACGGCCAAACAAGAGCAAAGUUUAAACGAAGCCGAUUCUGAUACCGUAGAGGAUACGGAUUCCGAAACAGAAAUGGAACUGGAUUCAAACGACGACUUUGACCAAAACCAAAGGGUCAAAGCUGCACCAAAAGUUAUGUUUUGGUUCUUAGUUGUUCUGUACUCCCCUCAUUAGCUGCUAGCUAAGAGGUUUUAUUUUAGGAAUGUAGUUUCUUUUGGCUGGUAAAAAAAAAACAAAUAAAUAGAAGGAUUUGUUAUUGUAAUUCAUGCCUUAUAAGAACUUUGUUAUGAUAAGGCAUAUACCUUUAUCUCACCCGAACACAUUAUUAUCACAUGUUUUUCUUUUAACA
Molecule: long non-coding RNA, 1341 nt
Organism: Helianthus annuus (common sunflower)
Lineage: Eukaryota; Viridiplantae; Streptophyta; Magnoliopsida; Asterales; Asteraceae
Exons: 2
Source: RefSeq, a predicted model, not a curated record